RNAcentral lists this ribosomal RNA (460 nucleotides) under uncultured Bacteroidota bacterium. RNAcentral describes it as "uncultured Bacteroidetes bacterium partial 16S ribosomal RNA". The record is from RNAcentral. Lineage: Bacteria; Pseudomonadati; Bacteroidota.
GACUACUGGGGUAUCUAAUCCUGUUCGAUCCCCACGCUUUCGUGCAUCAGCGUCAGUCAUAGUUUGGCAAGCUGCCUUCGCAAUCGGUGUUCUGAGUAAUAUCUAAGCAUUUCACCGCUACACUACUCAUUCCGCCUACCUCAACUAUACUCAAGAUUAGCAGUAUCAAUGGCAGUUCUACAGUUAAGCUGCAGGAUUUCACCACUGACUUACAAAUCCGCCUACGCACCCUUUAAACCCAAUAAAUCCGGAUAACGCUUGGACCCUCCGUAUUACCGCGGCUGCUGGCACGGAGUUAGCCGGUCCUUAUUCCUGUACUACCGUCAAGACCCCUCUCGAGGGAUUGUUUCUUGGUACAGAAAAGAAGUUUACAACCCAUAGGGCCGUCAUCCUUCACGCGGGAUGGCUGGUUCAGGCUUGCGCCCAUUGACCAAUAUUCCUCACUGCAGCCUCCCGUAGG